GUGCAGAGACAUGAAGGCAAUGAAGUGCAGGGACCAGAAAGACACAGCAUUUGUUUAUACCACAGCGUGAGAGGGAGCAGAAACGCAAAGAUGACAGUUCAAGCUUGCCGCUUCAACAUCUUCAUCAGCUUCACAGUUUAUUUGAGCUUCACCUUCCACAAAAGCCAUGGUUUUGAGGUGAUUCAACCACAGAACCAGACCGUAAACUCAGACGGGUCAGCAGCUAUCAGCUGUGAACACACUGCAAACGGCACCAUUGUCGAUGUUCAGCUCAUCGGCAUAGCACUGUAUGUACCCUGGUGUCAUUAAAUGAGUGUUGUUUGUGGGAUGGUAGGAGGCUGAGUUGUGAAAUACUAAAAUUAAGGGGUUCAUUUAGAUAACAUUAGAUAACCUAUUAACUUAUUUGUGUCUCUUUUCUCUCUGGUAUCAGAUUCCCAUUUCAUUGUACUUCCUUAGCCAAGCCAGAGUGUCUUUCUGUGGUAAAUAAGUUAGUUAGUUCAUAACUUUUAAUGACUUUCUUCUUUUCUACGUAGAUUUAUAUGUGUAGUGCAGUAGGUAUUUGUGGUAAGAAAGAGAUCUCAAUUAGUUAUUAUAUGAGGUAUUUUCAGGGAGUUUAGAGUGAAUCGAAGUAACCAAAGACGUGAGGGCACAUGGUUCAAACAGAUCCAGUGAGUUUAACCAGCCAGCUACAGCUAGAGUACCUAACAUAACUGCAAUUACUGCCAUUGUGCAGUGAUACAUAACGGCAAUUUAAAUAGGAUUUGGUUACAGAUCUAGAUUAUGGAGUAUAUAUAUAGAGAGAGAAAUAGAGAGGUCAUGCAUAUGAACAGAAGUGGAGACACAAAACAAAAACUGAUCAUUUGAUCAGGAAGCUUGCUGUAAGUCUGUAUAAUUGUCGGGUGUAUCAGUAAAUGGGACAGAUCCACAUGUUUUAAAAAUUGAGGGAUUAGCCCAAACCUAGGGGAGAUUUUUUUCUCCAUUUACUGCAGCUAUAUGUACUAUUUUUCAAGGCAGUUGAGAUAAUUAAAUGCCUAAAGAUCUGUACAUCAUUAGGGAGAAUAAUUCAAAGUUGCUCAGGAAAAAUAUCGCAUUUUUAAAAAAUCUAAUUGUUCUCCAACUGUCUACAUCAUUCUGCAACCAGAACACAACAAGUGUUUAGGACUAAUCUUCACUCCUAACACCUAAAGUUAAUAUUUUUAAGUUACAUAACAUAGGUAGUGUAGUAGUAAUAUAUACUAUUUUACUAUGCAUUUCUACUUUUCUUCUUUUUCAUGGAUUAUGUUUAAAAUUUGGCUAUUUUUAAUGUGUGUUUCACACAGAAGGGUGAUUCAUCACUAAUCUACUUUAAAAACAGCAGCAUGCAUGCUCCUCUUGCCAUCACCAAUGAAGCGUAGUAGGACAAUAUCUUUUCAGUCAGAUAACUCACGUAUUAAAUGUUUAUUACAGCAGUAUAACAUAUUUAGAUUUUGGCGUCUAGGC
Molecule: long non-coding RNA, 1479 nt
Organism: Morone saxatilis (striped sea-bass)
Lineage: Eukaryota; Metazoa; Chordata; Actinopteri; Moronidae
Exons: 3
Source: RefSeq, a predicted model, not a curated record